Molecule: ribosomal RNA, 333 nt
Filed under: Triticum aestivum (bread wheat)
Lineage: Eukaryota; Viridiplantae; Streptophyta; Magnoliopsida; Poales; Poaceae
Description: partial small subunit ribosomal RNA
Source: RNAcentral
AUGGAUCGUUGCUGGACUGCCGAGCGGCGUGCUCGCCAUGGACUCCCUCGUGAACCCCUAUGCAAGUUAUGCGACCAAGAGCUCGAGACCAUGGAUCACCUACUGGUGCAAUGUGUCUUCUCCAGAAUCACAUGGCACGAAAAUCUAUCGUGGUGUAGACUCCCGACUCCGCCGCCAUCCAUAGUGGCGCGCUUCUUCACCUGGUGGACCAGCACUGCUAGCGCCGCUCCGCCCAGCCCACGCAAGGAACCAGUUCCCUCAUUGCUCUCAUUGCUUGGUCUCUCUGGAAGCACCGUAAUGAUGUGGUCUUUGAAACCUACGACCAUUGCAUGA